Molecule: long non-coding RNA, 105 nt
Organism: Monomorium pharaonis (pharaoh ant)
Lineage: Eukaryota; Metazoa; Arthropoda; Insecta; Hymenoptera; Formicidae
Exons: 3
Source: RefSeq, a predicted model, not a curated record
CGUAGCCUUCGAUUUUCGGGAGGAAAGUGAAGGCCGCAGACACCGCCCUGCCAACCGCCCGGGUGUGCCAACACGAAAAACCACCCCCUACUCUGCGUUGAUACC